CCUACGGGUGGCAGCAGUGGGGAAUAUUGCGCAAUGGGCGAAAGCCUGACGCAGCGACGCCGCGUGAGGGAUGAAGGUCUUCGGAUCGUAAACCUCUGUCAGCAGGGAAGAACGGUCACUGUGCUAAUCAGCAGUGAAUUGACGGUACCUGCAAAGGAAGCACCGGCUAACUCAGUGCCAGCAGCCGCGGUAAUACGGCGGGUGCGAGCGUUAAUCGGAAUUACUGGGCGUAAAGGGCUCGUAGGCGGUAUGGCAAGUCAAGGGGGAAAUCCCCGCGCUCAACGGUGGAACUGCCUUUGAAACGGGGCAACUGGAGUGCGUGAGAGGAAAGUGGAAUUCCAGGUGUAGGGGUGAAAUCCGUAGAUAUCUGGAGGAACAUCAGUGGCGAAGGCGACUAUCUGGCACAUAACUGACGCUGAGGAGCGAAAGCGUGGGUAGCAAACAGGAUUAGAUACCCCAGUAGUC
This 465-nucleotide ribosomal RNA is filed under the name uncultured bacterium. RNAcentral describes it as "partial 16S ribosomal RNA". It matches the Rfam family "Bacterial small subunit ribosomal RNA", at positions 338 to 795 of the family's 1533-position model. The record is from RNAcentral.